AUGCAGUCGAACGGUAGCACAGAGGAGCUUGCUCCCUUGGGUGACGAGUGGCGGACGGGUGAGUAAUGUCUGGGAAACUGCCCGAUGGAGGGGGAUAACUACUGGAAACGGUAGCUAAUACCGCAUAACGUCGCAAGACCAAAGAGGGGGACCUUCGGGCCUCUUGCCAUCGGAUGUGCCCAGAUGGGAUUAGCUAGUAGGUGGGGUAACGGCUCACCUAGGCGACGAUCCCUAGCUGGUCUGAGAGGAUGACCAGCCACACUGGAACUGAGACACGGUCCAGACUCCUACGGGAGGCAGCAGUGGGGAAUAUUGCACAAUGGGCGCAAGCCUGAUGCAGCCAUGCCGCGUGUAUGAAGAAGGCCUUCGGGUUGUAAAGUACUUUCAGCGAGGAGGAAGGUGUUGUGGUUACAAACCCGAAGCAAUUGACGUUACUCGCAGAAGAAGCACCGGCUAACUCCGUGCCA
This 467-nucleotide ribosomal RNA is filed under the name Citrobacter freundii. RNAcentral's name for it is "bacterial SSU rRNA". It matches the Rfam family "Bacterial small subunit ribosomal RNA", at positions 55 to 510 of the family's 1533-position model. The record is from RNAcentral. Lineage: Bacteria; Pseudomonadati; Pseudomonadota; Gammaproteobacteria; Enterobacterales; Enterobacteriaceae.